GUUUCUCCUCUUCUCUCACCUUCUUCAAUCUUCACGCCACAAAGCCCAAAUUCAUCAUCGUCAAUUUGUCAUCAUCCUUGUCAAUAUUCAAGUAAUUCCCAAGCAUCAUCAUCAACAGCUCAUCAUCAUCCUCGAUAUUCAAUUCAUCCCGUCGUCGUUCUUUUUCAUCAAUUCGUCGCGUCGCCAUCCAUGAUUCACUAUCGUCUUCAUCGCGUCACCAUUCAUCUUGAUUACAUCAUCAACAUACAUGCUUCUUGGGAAUUAAUAGUGCUUUGAGGUGAUAUUAACAUAUGUGGGUCAGCUUUUAUCUCUAAAUCAUGAUUCAUUUCAAUUCAUUUAUAUUCAAGUUGUCUCGAUUGUAAAGAAUCUAUAAUCCUUUAAUCCAUUGGUGCUUGCGAUUUGAACUCUUUCUGGAAUUUUUCAUAACCUGAAACAAGUUUAUGUUUUUCAGUUCAUUCAGUUAUCCGGGUUUUAAACCUGACAUCCGGAAAGCCGGAUUUCUCCGAGUUGAACCCGCACCGGACCCGGAGCCAAAAAAUCCGGGUUUAUAUCCGGAUCCGAAAUGCAAAAUUGUCAUCCGGGUCCGAAACCAGGAAGGCUAAACCCAGACCUGGACCCGGAUUUUGCCAUCCCUAGAGUAGACCAUAUCAUAAUUAAAUAAAAAUAUCAUAGUAUAGACGGCAUAGCCAACCAUAUAAAAAUUAAAUAAGAAAAUAUGAAAAUAUAGAUGGCAUAGCUGACCAUAUAAGGAUUAAAUAAGAAAAUAUCAAAUAUAGGUGGCAUAGCCAACCAUAUAAAGAUUAAACAAUAAAUAAUCACAUCAUAGUAGUCAUCAUAAGAUAAAAAAAUAAUUAAAGAUGAAUUUAAGUGUGGAAAGAACAUUAUCCGUAAACUACAGUUGAAGUGUUACUUAUCUCUUAAUCUUGACUUCUCUAGGCCCUCAUAAUUUGAGGAUUUCUCUCUUGUUUGAUGUUACUACUUAGAAUAGAAGAGGACAGAAUUUCUAAAGUGAUAUAGAAAAUGAAAGGGCUAGGGGUACUUAUAGGAUUUCCUAAAACUAAUGGAUGGUUAAGGUUUUGCCACUAUAACUUUUGAUUAAUGGUUGAGAUUUAUCCUUGCAUAAAUAUCUCUGUAAAUUCUAGAAUUUAUUAAUAUUUUAUAGAUAUCUUGUUGCAUAAUUACUUAUGUCAUCGCUUAUGUCAUCAUUACUCUAGAAUUUUCUAUCAUAAAUAUUUUCUAUUAUUAUUAUUUUAAUAGGUAAGGGGAUUUAUUAGCCUAAAAAUUAAUUCUACUAUAUUCAAAUGAGAAAUUUAUAUCUCACAAUUUCCUCCCCAUUACGAAAAUUUUAUGCUCGAAAUUGAUUUAUUGAAUAGCUCAGGAUACUUAUUCUUCAUAUUUUCUUCACAUUCCCAUGUUGCCUCCCCCAUCGAGCUAUUUCGUCAUAGUAUUUUAACUAGAAAAAUCUUCUUGCUUUUUAUCUCCUUUAUCUUUCUAUCAAAUACUUGGAUUGGACGUUCUCCAUAGGUUAAGUUUUCUCCUAGUUGAAAAGCCUUAUAAUCUAGCACAUGAGAGGGGGUCUGUAACAUAUUUCUUUAACAUAAAGAUAUGAAAAGAAAUUGUGUAUCCUUGACAAUGGUAGAAGAGCAAGUCGGUACGAAACGUUCUUGACAUAUUCAAGUAUUUCAAAUGGUCCAAUAAACCUCGAAAUUAAAUUUCCUUUUACAAAUACCUUAUCACCAACUUGAAAUUCUGAAGGCCUUAAGCUCUUAUCUACAUGACUUUUCUGUUAACUUUGAGUUGCCUAUAUUCUUGGACGUAUUUUCUCGAUCGCCUUAGAUGAGACAACAAUGAGGCUGGGCCCAAGCUACCUUUGCUCACCCAUUUCAUUCCAAUGAAUAGGUGACCUACAUUUUUUACCAUAUAGAGUUUCGUAGAGUGCCAUGCCGAUUAUUGCUUGAUAACUAUUAUUGUAGGCAAAUGCAACCAAAGGUAGAUAUUUGCUCUAUGAUAUUUGAAAGUCGAUAGUGCAUCCCCGUAAUAUAUCUUCUAAUGUCUAGAUCGUUGUUUCUAACAGACCAUUUGUUUGAGGGUAAAAUGUUGUACUAAAUUUUAAUUUUGUUCUCAUAGCUCUAUGUAACUUUUCCUAAAAUGUUGAGGUGAACCUUGUAUCUCGAUCAAAGAUAAUAGAAAUAGGUACACCAUAUAGUCUUACUAUCUCCUUUAUGUAUAUUUCUGCAAAUUGGUUUAUAGUGCACGUCAUUCAAAUAGGUAAAAAGUGGGCAGACUUUAUGAGUCAAUUGACGAUCAGCCAAAUGGCAUCAUGCAUUUCUUUUUCAAUUUUUUCAUUACUGUUGGUAUUUAUGCAAUGUUUUAGAAAGUUAAACUGCAAUGUGAGAGCUUAUGUGAAGAAGGUUCUAAGUAUUUGUUGCUUUCUUUCUUUUUUCCUUUUUGUUUGAUUUUGAAUCAUUUUUUUCAUUUCUUCUGGUUUGCACUCAUGCAGUUCAUCCAUUUUGUAAAUGUUGGAUAAGGAUCUUUGGCUACCGGUAAUUAGGGCCAGUUAGAUGCGUUUAUUACAAGAACAAAAGUGUCAAAGAUUUUUUUAUUUUUGAUCCAUUUGAAUACAUGAUAGUUUUUUUUGCUCACUCAAUUUCUACUUUGUAGCAUUCCUGGUAGUAUACCUUUUGAUUACAUUGAUCUUGUGGUCUUUCACAAAUGUUGAAUUACAGACAUGCGCCUCUACCUUGUCGCAUUUGCGAACAUUGUGUUCUCCCAUAGGGCAAAAAGGUAAACUACUUAUUGUUGUGCAUGAUUUUGUUUUAUUGAGGGUUCAUUCAUGCUUAGUUUUGUUUUUCUUUUAUGCAUCACCAUGUUGUUAUUUUGUUAAUUUGUUGCAUAUAAUUAAUUGUUUUCACUUUAUUUUUCUAAAGAAGUUUUCAUUUACUAGGUACACAAGUAAAACCUAAGCUGGCACAUAAUACACAAUGGGGUAAGAUUUGUUCCUUUCCAACACUUUUAGGACAAGUAAGUUAAAAUUGUGCUUAUAGGAUAUAUCUAUAAUAUCUUUUUUUGAUUGUAGCUUACAAGAAUUUGUUUUGGUUAAUCCAG
This 3105-nucleotide long non-coding RNA is filed under the name Citrus sinensis (sweet orange). RNAcentral's name for it is "long non-coding RNA (CSIN_LNC004658)". The record is from RNAcentral. Lineage: Eukaryota; Viridiplantae; Streptophyta; Magnoliopsida; Sapindales; Rutaceae.